UACUGAACAUCUAAUGGAGCAGAAUCACGAGCUUGAGAAUGAACUAUGCCUAUUUUUCUCAGCUGUAAGCUCAUCAGAAAGAGUGAGAGGUAUUUUUUUUCCUUCUCCCAACAGAGGGACCAGGUUCUGUGUUCUGGAUAUCCGGACUUCUGUCUCAGGGGAGCAUUAGAUGCCUUUGUUUUCAGUCAUCUAGGAGACAGGACUCAACCCAACUGGGGGCUGGUCACCUGGAGGACAGAGAAUGAUCAGGUAUUGCUGUGCGUGACUCUGACAGCCCAGGCAAGUGAGCUCCACUACUGAGCCUGGCAUGCAAGGAGGGGUGCACAGGGCAUUAACUGCCUGCCAGCACCCGGACCGGUUGGUCUGGACUCAUGCAGCUAGCGAGGCUCACUUCAGAUGGAACUGCAGUCCCGGGCAGACAGCUGGGGACAAUAGCCACACGUACAGUUGAUCCUGGAACAACACAGGAUCCAAUCAAAGGGGCCACAUAGUAUUUAAUCAGCCUCUCCAGUCUCCUCCAGUCUAUGACAGCGUUUCUAUCUUCCCUAGUUUUUCAUGACCUUGACUGUCCUAAGGAGUAGUGGCCAACUAUCCUGUAGAAUGUCUCCCAAACUGAGUUUGUCAGAUAUUUUUCUCAUGCUUGGACUGGGGUUGUGGGACCUGGGGAAAAAAAUCCCACAAGGGUGAAGUGCUCUUCUAAUCACAUCCUGUCAUUGGAGGGUUUAUGACAUCACUGAUCAUGUCAGCCUUCAUCGCUCAGUGGACGUGAUGUCUGCCAGCUUUCACCGCUGUCAAGUUACGAAUCCCAGUUCUCUAGUCUCUUCUUCUAAAACCACCCAGCCCUUUUUUUAUUUGCAAUAGAAAAAUAAAAAAAU
Long non-coding RNA from Lutra lutra (Eurasian river otter), 875 nucleotides. RefSeq lists it as uncharacterized. Lineage: Eukaryota; Metazoa; Chordata; Mammalia; Carnivora; Mustelidae. The record is from RefSeq and is a predicted model, not a curated record. The transcript is spliced from 3 exons.